UACGAGGGGGGCGAGCGUUGUUCGGAAUUAUUGGGCGUAAAGGGUGCGUAGGCGGUUUGGUAAGUCUUGUGUGAAAUCUUCGGGCUCAACUCGAAGUCUGCACGAGAAACUGCCGGGCUUGAGUAUGGGAGAGGUGAGUGGAAUUUCCGGUGUAGCGGUGAAAUGCGCAGAUAUCGGGAGGAACACCGGUGGCGAAGGCGGUUCUCUGGGCCUGACCUGACGCUGAGGAGCGAAAGCGUGGGGAGCGAACAGG
This 253-nucleotide ribosomal RNA is filed under the name uncultured bacterium. Its description in RNAcentral is "partial 16S ribosomal RNA". It matches the Rfam family "Bacterial small subunit ribosomal RNA", at positions 524 to 776 of the family's 1533-position model. The record is from RNAcentral.